CCCAUUCUCAAAUCUCAAGCUGCAUGCUGGGAGAACCACUACUCUCUUCAAAGCUGUCAGACAGGGACAUUUAAGUCUGCAGAGGUUACUGCUGCCUUUUGUUUGUCUGCACCCUGCCUCCAGAGGUGGAGCCUACAGAGGCAGGCAGGCCUCCUUGAGCUGUGGUGGGCUCCACCCAGUUCAAGCUUCCCGGCCACUUUGUUUACCUACUCAAGCCUCAGCAAUGGCAGGCCCCCCUCCCUCAGCCUCGCUGCCACCUUGCAGUUUGAUCU
Molecule: long non-coding RNA, 272 nt
Filed under: Homo sapiens (human)
Lineage: Eukaryota; Metazoa; Chordata; Mammalia; Primates; Hominidae
Description: non-protein coding lnc-TESPA1-2:2
Source: RNAcentral